UGAGGAAUAUUGGACAAUGGAUGGAAAUCUGAUCCAGCCAUGCCGCGUGCAGGAAGACUGCCCUAUGGGUUGUAAACUGCUUUUGUACGGGAGCAAUAAGACCUACGUGUAGGUUGAUGAGAGUACCGUACGAAUAAGCAUCGGCUAACUCCGUGCCAGCAGCCGCGGUAAUACGGAGGAUGCAAGCGUUAUCCGGAUUUAUUGGGUUUAAAGGGUGCGUAGGCUGUCAUAUAAGUCAGCGGUGAAAUGCCAGUGCUCAACACUGGAGCUGCCGUUGAUACUGUAUGGCUGGAAUAUGGUUGCUGUUGGCGGAAUGUGUAGUGUAGCGGUGAAAUGCAUAGAUAUUACACAGAACACCGAUUGCGAAGGCAGCUGACAAAACCAUUAUUGACGCUGAUGC
Molecule: ribosomal RNA, 400 nt
Filed under: uncultured bacterium
Lineage: Bacteria
Description: bacterial SSU rRNA
Rfam family: Bacterial small subunit ribosomal RNA
Source: RNAcentral